AUUGAACGCUGGCGGCAGGCCUAACACAUGCAAGUCGAACGGUAACAGGAAGCAGCUUGCUGCUUCGCUGACGAGUGGCGGACGGGUGAGUAAUGUCUGGGAAGCUGCCUGAUGGAGGGGGAUAACUACUGGAAACGGUAGCUAAUACCGCAUAAUGUCGCAAGACCAAAGAGGGGGACCUUCGGGCCUCUUGCCAUCGGAUGUGCCCAGAUGGGAUUAGCUUGUUGGUGGGGUAACGGCUCCCCAAGGCGACGAUCCCUAGCUGGUCUGAGAGGAUGACCAGCCACACUGGAACUGAGACACGGUCCAGACUCCUACGGGAGGCAGCAGUGGGGAAUAUUGCACAAUGGGCGCAAGCCUGAUGCAGCCAUGCCGCGUGUAUGAAGAAGGCCUUCGGGUUGUAAAGUACUUUCAGCGGGGAGGAAGGGAGUAAAGUUAAUACCUUUGCUCAUUGACGUUACCCGCAGAAGAAGCACCGGCUAACUCCGUG
Molecule: ribosomal RNA, 490 nt
Filed under: uncultured bacterium
Lineage: Bacteria
Description: partial 16S ribosomal RNA
Rfam family: Bacterial small subunit ribosomal RNA
Source: RNAcentral